RNAcentral lists this ribosomal RNA (254 nucleotides) under uncultured bacterium. Its description in RNAcentral is "partial 16S ribosomal RNA". It matches the Rfam family "Bacterial small subunit ribosomal RNA", at positions 524 to 776 of the family's 1533-position model. The record is from RNAcentral.
UACGUAGGGUGCGAGCGUUAAUCGGAAUUACUGGGCGUAAAGCGUGCGCAGGCGGUCUGUUACGCCCGAUGUGAAAUCCCCGGGCUUAACCUGGGAACUGCAUUGGUGACUGGCAGGCUUUGAGUGUGGCAGAGGGAGGUAGAAUUCCACGUGUAGCAGUGAAAUGCGUAGAGAUGUGGAGGAAUACCGAUGGCGAAGGCAGCCUCCUGGGCCAACACUGACGCUCAUGCACGAAAGCGUGGGGAGCAAACAGG